AUGUUUCAUAUACAUGAGUACAAUUUCUAUAGUUUUGUAUAUUUUUUAGGUAACCAAUUUGAAGUUAAUGAAUUGUUAUGUAGCCAUAUAUCCAACGCUUCCAAUAGUAGUGUCGAAGCUAAACAAAUCAAUAUUAUUAUGUUACACUAUUAUACUGAUCCUCUAUCUAUUGUUAUUCCCUUUCACUAUGAGUAUUAA
RNAcentral lists this long non-coding RNA (198 nucleotides) under Vicia faba (fava bean). Lineage: Eukaryota; Viridiplantae; Streptophyta; Magnoliopsida; Fabales; Fabaceae. The record is from RNAcentral.